UACGUAGGGUGCAAGCGUUGUCCGGAAUUAUUGGGCGUAAAGAGCUCGUAGGCGGUCUGUCGCGUCUGCUGUGAAAACUCAGGGCUUAACCCUGAGCUUGCAGUGGGUACGGGCAGACUAGAGUGCGGUAGGGGAGACUGGAAUUCCUGGUGUAGCGGUGAAAUGCGCAGAUAUCAGGAGGAACACCGGUGGCGAAGGCGGGUCUCUGGCCUGUAACUGACGCUGAGGCGCGAAAGCGUGGGGAGCAAACAGG
This 253-nucleotide ribosomal RNA is filed under the name uncultured bacterium. RNAcentral's name for it is "partial 16S ribosomal RNA". It matches the Rfam family "Bacterial small subunit ribosomal RNA", at positions 524 to 776 of the family's 1533-position model. The record is from RNAcentral.